AAGGGUGACUGCGUACCUUUUGUAUAAUGGGUCAGCGACUUAUAUUUUGUAGCGAGGUUAACCGAAUAGGGGAGCCGAAGGGAAACCGAGUCUUAACUGGGCGUCUAGUUGCAAGGUAUAGACCCGAAACCCGGUGAUCUAGCCAUGGGCAGGUUGAAGGUUGGGUAACACUAACUGGAGGACCGAACCGACUAAUGUUGAAAAAUUAGCGGAUGACUUGUGGCUGGGGGUGAAAGGCCAAUCAAACCGGGAGAUAGCUGGUUCUCCCCGAAAUCUAUUUAGGUAGAGCCUUGAGCGGACACCUUCGGGGGUAGAGCACUGUUUCGGCUAGGGGUCCAUCCCGGAUUACCAACCCGAUGCAAACUACGAAUACCGAAGAGUGAUACUCAGGAGACACACGGCGGGUGCUAACGUCCGUCGUGGAGAGGGAAACAACCCAGACCGCCAGCUAAGGUCCCAAAGUCUAUAUUAAGUGGGAAACGAAGUGGGAAGGCUUAGACAGCUAGGAUGUUGGCUUAGAAGCAGCCAUCAUUUAAAGAAAGCGUAAUAGCUCACUAGUCGAGUCGGCCUGCGCGGAAGAUGUAACGGGGCUCAAAUAUAGCACCGAAGCUGCGGCAUCAGACGAAAGUCUGUUGGGUAGGGGAGCGUUGUGUAAGCGGAUGAAGGUGUGUUGAGAAGCAUGCUGGACGUAUCACAAGUGCGAAUGCUGACAUAAGUAACGAUAAAACGGGUGAAAAACCCGUUCGCCGGAAGACCAAGGGUUCCUGUCCAACGUUAAUCGGGGCAGGGUGAGUCGGCCCCUAAGGCGAGGCUGAAAAGCGUAGUCGAUGGGAAACGGGUUAAUAUUCCCGUACUUGGUAAAGCUGCGAUGUGGGGACGGAGCAGGUUAGGUUAGCGUGCUGUUGGAUAUGCACGUUUAAGUUGGUAGGUGGGGAGUUUAGGCAAAUCCGGACUUCCUUAACACUGAGAGAUGAUGACGAGGCUCUACGGAGCUGAAGUAACCGAUACCACACUUCCAGGAAAAGCCACUAAGCGAAAGGCUUUACUAAACCGUACUGAAAACCGACACAGGUGGUCAGGUAGAGAAUACUCAGGCGCUUGAGAGAACUCGGGUGAAGGAACUAGGCAAAAUAGCACCGUAACUUCGGGAGAAGGUGCGCCGGCGUAGAUUGUAGUCCCUCGCGGGCGAAGGUUGAACCGGUCGAAGAUACCAGCUGGCUGCAACUGUUUAUUAAAAACACAGCACUCUGCAAACACGAAAGUGGACGUAUAGGGUGUGAUGCCUGCCCGGUGCUGGAAGGUUAAUUGAUGGUGUAAUCGAAAGAGAAGCUCCUGAUCGAAGCCCCAGUAAACGGCGGCCGUAACUAUAACGGUCCUAAGGUAGCGAAAUUCCUUGUCGGGUAAGUUCCGACCUGCACGAAUGGCAUAAUGAUGGCCAGGCUGUCUCCACCCGAGACUCAGUGAAAUUGAAAUCGCCGUGAAGAUGCGGUGUACCCGCGGCUAGACGGAAAGACCCCGUGAACCUUUACUAUAGCUUGACACUGAACAUUGAAUUUUGAUGUGUAGGAUAGGUGGGAGACUAUGAAGAUGAUACGCCAGUAUUGUUGGAGUCGUCCUUGAAAUACCACCCUUUAACGUUUGAUGUUCUAACGAAGAUUACGAAACGUGGUCUCGGACAGUGUCUGGUGGGUAGUUUGACUGGGGCGGUCUCCUCCCAAAGAGUAACGGAGGAGCACGAAGGUUUGCUAAUCACGGUCGGACAUCGUGAGGUUAGUGCAAUGGUAUAAGCAAGCUUAACUGCGAGACAGACAAGUCGAGCAGGUACGAAAGUAGGUCAUAGUGAUCCGGUGGUUCUGCAUGGAAGGGCCAUCGCUCAACGGAUAAAAGGUACUCCGGGGAUAACAGGCUGAUACCGCCCAAGAGUUCAUAUCGACGGCGGUGUUUGGCACCUCGAUGUCGGCUCAUCACAUCCUGGGGCUGAAGUAGGUCCCAAGGGUAUGGCUGUUCGCCAUUUAAAGUGGUACGCGAGCUGGGUUUAGAACGUCGUGAGACAGUUCGGUCCCUAUCUGCCGUGGGCGUUGGAGAAUUGAUUGGGGCUGCUCCUAGUACGAGAGGACCGGAGUGGACGCACCACUGGUGUUCCGGUUGUGUCGCCAGACGCAUUGCCGGGUAGCUAAGUGCGGAAGAGAUAAGUGCUGAAAGCAUCUAAGCACGAAACUUGCCAAGAGAUGAGUUCUCCCAGAUUAUAAAUCUGUAAGGGUUGUUUAAGACUAAGACGUAGAUAGGUGCGGUGUGUAAGUGUAGUGAUACAUUGAGCUAACGCAUACUAAUUGCCCGAGAGGCUUAACUAU
This 2351-nucleotide ribosomal RNA is filed under the name Haemophilus influenzae. RNAcentral's name for it is "bacterial LSU rRNA". It matches the Rfam family "Bacterial large subunit ribosomal RNA", at positions 589 to 2925 of the family's 2925-position model. Lineage: Bacteria; Pseudomonadati; Pseudomonadota; Gammaproteobacteria; Pasteurellales; Pasteurellaceae. The record is from RNAcentral.